RNAcentral lists this small nucleolar RNA (105 nucleotides) under Sciurus vulgaris (Eurasian red squirrel). Its description in RNAcentral is "Small nucleolar RNA U13 (ENSSVLG00005022412.1)". It matches the Rfam family "Small nucleolar RNA U13". The record is from Rfam by way of RNAcentral. Lineage: Eukaryota; Metazoa; Chordata; Mammalia; Rodentia; Sciuridae.
AUUAUUCCAGGUGGUUCAUAGGUGUGAUGGUUGGUUUUUCUCACUACUGUGGGACAUGUGUCUCCAUCAAACUAGCUAUGAUGUCAGCACACUAUCUGUUUGACA